CGAUAACGAACGAGACCUUAACCUGCUAAAUAGUUAGGCCAACGUUUGUUGGUCGUCAACUUCUUAGAGGGACUAUUGACUAUUAGUCAAUGGAAGUUUGAGGCAAUAACAGGUCUGUGAUGCCCUUAGAUGUUCUGGGCCGCACGAGCGCUACACUGAUCAAGUCAACGAGUAUACAACCUUGGCCGGAAGGUCUGGGUAAUCUUUUGAAACUUGAUCGUGCUGGGGAUAGUCCAUUGCAAUUAUUGGACUUCAACGAGGAAUUCCUAGUAAGCGUGAGUCAUCAGCUCGCGUUGAUUACGUCCCUGCCCUUUGUACACACCGCCCGUCGCUACUACCGAUUGAAUGGCUGGGGCGGGGGCGGCGGGCCGGCGCGGGGCGCGGCGGGCGAGGUCUCGUUCGUUAUCGA
This 409-nucleotide ribosomal RNA is filed under the name uncultured fungus. RNAcentral's name for it is "bacterial SSU rRNA". It matches the Rfam family "Eukaryotic small subunit ribosomal RNA", at positions 1326 to 1756 of the family's 1831-position model. The record is from RNAcentral. Lineage: Eukaryota; Fungi.